RNAcentral lists this ribosomal RNA (251 nucleotides) under uncultured bacterium. Its description in RNAcentral is "partial 16S ribosomal RNA". It matches the Rfam family "Bacterial small subunit ribosomal RNA", at positions 524 to 776 of the family's 1533-position model. The record is from RNAcentral.
GACGUAGGGCGCGAGCGUUGUCCGGAUUUAUUGGGCGUAAAGAGCUCGUAGGCGGCUUGUUGCGUCGACCGUGAAAACCCGGCUCAACUUCGGGCUUGCGGUCGAUACGGGCGGGCUAGAGUUCGGUAGGGGAGACUGGAAUUCCUGGUGUAGCGGUGAAAUGCGCAGAUAUCAGGAGGAACACCGGUGGCGAAGGCGGGUCUCUGGGCCGAUACUGACGCUGAGGAGCGAAAGCGUGGGGAGCGAACAGG